This 136-nucleotide small nucleolar RNA is filed under the name Oryza sativa Japonica Group (Japanese rice). RNAcentral's name for it is "Small nucleolar RNA Z247". Lineage: Eukaryota; Viridiplantae; Streptophyta; Magnoliopsida; Poales; Poaceae. The record is from RNAcentral.
GUCCAUGGAUAGCGAUGAACUGAUCGCAUAUAUCCUCAAUGGACUGGACGAAUGCAGCCAGCAGAAACCGUGGGGGCUUCUCCUCGUGUGGUGGCGCAGGAAGAGGCCGGAACACCAACAGCAACCGCGGCCGUGG